GAAGUUUCACAAACUCUGCAUUCAGCACUUUUAGUAGCAUGUUGCUGUUAGCAGUUUGCAAUAGCAAUUAGCGUUGGCAAUUUUGAUCAAUGCUAAUCCUGACAAUGGUCGCGCCUUGCUAUCUUCCAUUCGUUCAGCAAUUUUGAAGCAUUUCAAUGAAUGAAAUUAUGUUCGAUAAAGUCUCUGCGUUUUGUCACUAGCGAGUGAGCGGUCUAUAUAUAUAUAUAUAUACACUGUGAAUGAAUGAAGAAGGUUUUGGAAGUUCUGGAUUCGGCUGUUUCGUUACAGCUUGUGCACUUUGUCAUGACAAUCCUGAAAGUACAUCAGGAUUUCCGUUUCUAUCCGUACCACUUCAGAUAUCGGCGACAGAUGGUGCACAAUGUUGCUAGCGGUUAUUGCAUCGGUGCUGCUGUCACAGUGAUGUGUCUGUAGAAGAGAUGAUGAGACUCAGCGUCCGUUCACAUGCUGUUUCGAGGUCACAAUUUCCUAAUGCAGAUCAGGGCACAGGCACAGAGGAGGUGGAAUGGAUCUUAGCAUGACGACAUCAUGCACGUGAGGGUGGAGAAAAUAUCAUCACAAUAUCAUGGGCAGAUUCAACUCCACCUUCCAGAACCGGGAAUAAUCACGGAGUGAAAAUGCUGAACCUUUUUCACUCGGAAACAUACAUCACGCAUUACUGGAAAAAGGAAAUGCAUCAUGAUUGUCAUUAACCUGUAGUGGUUAAAUACUGAAAUACCUAUUACAUGUGCUGUUCCUGUUUAGCAUGUUGUUGUUGUUUUUUAAAUAAACUUCAUACUGUUUAAAAUUCUUUGAUUUCUAAUUGAAGUGUGAAACUUUUUCCCUUUGAAAAUCAUUGAUGUCACAACGGCCGUUACAGCAGAUGACCAAUCGACAGCUUUGAUUCUUCUCUCGUAAGUUCAAAGUGGCAAACGAUUGUUCAUUUUCCACAUCUGUGUGUGACAAGACAGCUGUGAUUUCAGCAACAUAGCGAUAUUUAAAUAGAAAGACAAGAGGUUCUCUCAAUCCUACACAAAUUAGGUACGAUGCUGUAAAGAAGCGACGAAUCCAAACAAUAGGCGCGAACGAUUCCUCGGACCAAUCCUAUGCUGCGUGUGGGUCGACGUUUCUCAAGUUCCCCGCU
This is a long non-coding RNA of Ictalurus punctatus (channel catfish), 1141 nucleotides long. The record is from Ensembl. Lineage: Eukaryota; Metazoa; Chordata; Actinopteri; Siluriformes; Ictaluridae.